Molecule: ribosomal RNA, 253 nt
Filed under: uncultured bacterium
Lineage: Bacteria
Description: partial 16S ribosomal RNA
Rfam family: Bacterial small subunit ribosomal RNA
Source: RNAcentral
UACGUAGGGUGCGAGCGUUAAUCGGAAUUACUGGGCGUAAAGCGUGCGCAGGCGGCGCCGCAAGUCAGGCGUGAAAUCCCCGAGCUUAACUUGGGAAUGGCGCUUGAAACUACGGUGCUGGAGUGUGGCAGAGGGAGGUGGAAUUCCACGUGUAGCGGUGAAAUGCGUAGAUAUCGGGAGGAACACCAGUGGCGAAGGCGACUACCUGGCCUGUUCUUGACGCUGAGGCGCGAAAGCUAGGGGAGCAAACGGG